Molecule: unclassified non-coding RNA, 602 nt
Filed under: Hevea brasiliensis (rubber tree)
Lineage: Eukaryota; Viridiplantae; Streptophyta; Magnoliopsida; Malpighiales; Euphorbiaceae
Source: RNAcentral
GAUUUUUGUUACUAAAAUUCUGCUGUCUGCAGUGCUAUAUAUGGUCAUUUGUUUUCUUGUUUCUUAUACCUUCUUUAUCCUGGUCUAUUUAUAUUGGGGAUGAUGAUCGUUUCAAAUGAUAUCAUCAAUAUCUGGUUGCGUUGGUCUAGAUUGUUCCUUCGUGGUAUUGUUUCUAGAAUUCCAUUUUAGUAAACUCUAAUCUGGUAAUUAAUUGCUAUAAAUUGCAUGCAGUCUUAUCUAUAUGUUUGUUAUGGUAGUGCAUAUGGAAUGUUAACAGCAAUUGAAAUCCCUGUUACUAUAUUUUGGGUAGGGGUGAGCAAUAAACAGUUUUAACCGGAAAAAAGAACCGAUUUGGAUCGGUUUUUUGGUUUAUGCUUUUUAUAAUUUUUGGUUUUUGGAUUGGUUAUUUUAGUAAAAAACUGACCGAUUAAAUGUACUUGGGACUGUUAUUUUUUUAAUCCCUUAGGCCUAUUUUGUCCUCAGCCCAAUAACCCUUAUAACAUCCGUUAGUCGUUGACCAUAACCUUAAGCCCAGAGAAUGUAUCUUCUUCUUCCCUGUUCCCAUCAACUUCUUAAGUUCCCCUCUCUUCUUCUUCUUCUUA